UCAAGCUGAAAAGAGCGCAAGGGGAAUGCCUUGGCAUCAGGAGCCGACGAAGGACGUGACAAGCUGCGAUAAGCUACGGUGAGGAGCAAAUAUCCUGUGACCCGUAGAUUUCCGAAUGGGGCAACCCGGCUGGACAAUAUCCAGUCAUCCUGCAUUGAAUCAAAUAGGUGUAGGAAGGGAACCGCCUGAACUGAAACAUCUAAGUAGGGCGAGGAAAAGACAUCAACCGAGAUUCCGCAAGUAGUGGCGAGCGAACGCGGAGAAGGCCAAACCAGAGGUCAUUGAUCUCUGGGGUAUGGACUUGCAUCAUGAUCAGAGGUAUCUAGUCGAAUGGCGUGGGAAAGCCAACCACAGAGGGUGAGAGUCCCGUAGACGAAAGAGAAGACUGACAGCGAGUAUCCAGAGUACCGCCGGACACGUGAAACCCGGUGGGAACAUGGGAGGACCACCUUCCAAGCCUAAAUACUACCUGAUGACCGAUAGUGGAGCAGUACCGUGAGGGAAAGGUGAAAAGAACCCCGGGAGGGGAGUGAAAUAGUACCUGAAACCGUAUGUCUACAAGCAGUCGAAGCGAAAGCGACGGCGUGCCUAUUGAAGAAUGAACCAACGAGUUAUCUGCACUAGCGAGGUUAAGUGAAAGACACGGAGCCGCAGCGAAAGCGAGUCUUAAGAGGGCGCUAGUUAGUGUAGGUAGACCCGAAACCGCAGUGAUCUACCCAUGUCCAGGUUGAAGCGCAGGUAAAAUUGCGUGGAGGACCGAACCGGUGAGCGUUGAAAAGCUUUCGGAUGAGAUGUGGGUAGGGGUGAAAUUCCAAUCGAACGCGGAGAUAGCUGGUUCUCCCCGAAAUAGCUUUAGGGCUAGCCUGAGGUAGUAAGUAUAGGCGGUAGAGCACUGAUCGGGCUAGGGGCCGUAAAGGUUACCGAACCCUGUCAAACUCCGAAUGGAUAUACUGUAGAGCCUUGGAGUCAGACUACGAGUGAUAAGAUCCGUGGUCAAAAGGGAAACAGCCCAGACCACCAGCUAAGGUCCCCAAUGUCGUACUAAGUGGAAAAGGAUGUGGGGUUUCAUAAACAACCAGGAUGUUGGCUCAGAAGCAGCCACCAUUUAAAGAGUGCGUAAUAGCUCACUGGUCGAGAGACCCUGCGCCGAAGAUUCCCGGGGCUAAAGUACGAAACCGAAGCUGUGGCUGUAUACGUAAAGUAUACGGGGUAGGGGAGCGUUCCCAUAGGGUAGAAGUCGAACUGGAAGGUUCGGUGGACUUGUGGGAAGUGAGAAUGUUGGUAUGAGUAGCGAAAAGAAAGGUGAGAAUCCUUUCCACCGAAAGCAUAAGGAUUCCUGAGCAACGAUCGUCGUCUCAGGGUAAGUCGGGACCUAAUCCGAGGCAGAGAGCGUAGGAGAUGGACAACUGGUUGAUAUUCCAGUACCGGUAGUAAUUGUUUGAGCAAUGGAGUGACACAGAAGGGCAGGCAAGCAUGCGAAUGGAAGAGCAUGUGUAAGCGUGUAGGGUGGUGCAUAGGCAAAUCCGUGCACUGAAAGCCUGAGGCGUGAUGCGGAGUGAGCAGAGAUGCGAGCGAAGUUGUUGACCCCACACUGUCGAGAAAAGCUUCUAGUGAGAGAGCUACCGCCCGUACCGUAAACCGACACAGGUAUGCGGGGAGAGAAUCCUAAGGUGCGCGGGAGAACCCUCGUUAAGGAACUCGGCAAAAUGUACCCGUAACUUCGGGAUAAGGGUAGCCACUGUUGUGAAGUCCCAUGCGGAUGGAGCAUAGAGUGGUCGCAGAGAAGAGGCCCAAGCGACUGUUUACCAUAAACACAGGUGCCUGCUAAAGCGAAAGCUGACGUAUAGGUGCUGACACCUGCCCAGUGCCGGAAGGUUAAGGAAGGAUGUUCGGAUUAGUCCAAAGCAUUCGACUGAAGCCCCGGUGAACGGCGGCCGUAACUAUAACGGUCCUAAGGUAGCGAAAUUCCUUGUCGGGUAAG
Molecule: ribosomal RNA, 1981 nt
Filed under: human gut metagenome
Description: bacterial LSU rRNA
Rfam family: Bacterial large subunit ribosomal RNA
Source: RNAcentral